This 492-nucleotide ribosomal RNA is filed under the name uncultured bacterium. RNAcentral's name for it is "partial 16S ribosomal RNA". It matches the Rfam family "Bacterial small subunit ribosomal RNA", at positions 29 to 507 of the family's 1533-position model. The record is from RNAcentral.
AGUGAACGCUGGCGGUAGGCCUAACACAUGCAAGUCGAACGGCAGCACAGUAAGAGCUUGCUCUUACGGGUGGCGAGUGGCGGACGGGUGAGGAAUACAUCGGAAUCUACUUUUUCGUGGGGGAUAACGUAGGGAAACUUACGCUAAUACCGCAUACGACCUACGGGUGAAAGCAGGGGAUCUUCGGACCUUGCGCGGUUGAAUGAGCCGAUGUCGGAUUAGCUAGUUGGCGGGGUAAAGGCCCACCAAGGCGACGAUCCGUAGCUGGUCUGAGAGGAUGAUCAGCCACACUGGAACUGAGACACGGUCCAGACUCCUACGGGAGGCAGCGGUGGGGAAUAUUGGACAAUGGGCGCAAGCCUGAUCCAGCCAUACCGCGUGGGUGAAGAAGGCCUUCGGGCUGUAAAGCCCUUUUGUUGGGAAAGAAAAGCAGCAGGUUAAUACCCCGCUGUUCUGACGGUACCCAAAGAAUAAGCACCGGCUAACUUCGUG